AUGCUAACCUAAUGGGAGAUACCAUGAUAAUGAUGGUGGUUUUCCCAGGGAGAAGCUUAUCUACUGGGUAACAGUGGCUAGAAUGUGCUGACCCCUGGGAUUUCUCUGAAUGCAGGAAACACAGCUGCAUAGUUUAUGGUAGUGGGUGACUGCAUUUGUGAUCUUUCCUG
Molecule: non-coding RNA, 170 nt
Organism: Myodes glareolus (Bank vole)
Lineage: Eukaryota; Metazoa; Chordata; Mammalia; Rodentia; Cricetidae
Source: RefSeq, a predicted model, not a curated record